GAAAUCAGUGAUGAAGAAGCAGUUCAGAUCCAAGUGCCUUCAGUUCUUCCUGCAGACUCUUUCACACUCAGACCGUAUGUGGAGAAAUCAGAAACGCUCAGCAAACUGGUUCAGCUCGGUGUCAAUCUGUGGGAUCUGGAGCAGAGGCCUAAUGUGGGCUCCAUGCUGGUUCGGCUCGACUUCCAGGCAGACGUUGCACCCAGACUGCUCUUCCUCAGAGAUCUGGGAGUUGAGGAGUCCGCGUUGGGUCGACUGCUCACCAAGAACCCCUUCAUCCUUGCGGAAAGCCUGGACAACCUUCAGGCCAGGCCUGAUGCGGGACGACACCAUCGAUGAGGGCAGUGAUGUGAAAGAGGCUGUUCGUCGUCUUCCAGAGCCACUUUACAAUGAGAGGGUUUUCCGCCUCAAGAGAGCCAUGGAUCUUUCCAUGAAGCACCAGAUCCUUCCCAAAGACCAGUGGACGAAAUUUGAGCAGGAUGUGAAGUACCUGGAGCCGUACCUGCAGGAGGUGAUCCGUGAAAGGAAAGAGAAAGAGGAGUGGGAUAAGAAAUAGGAAGAGCGUGAUGACGAUGAUCAAGCUCUUCUUUGCUGCGAUGUCUGGUAUUCUUGUAUUUAAAAGAAAAUGUAUUAUGUGAUGAGUCCUUAUUAAAAUUUCCUUUCUGACAAAA
Molecule: non-coding RNA, 668 nt
Organism: Danio rerio (zebrafish)
Lineage: Eukaryota; Metazoa; Chordata; Actinopteri; Cypriniformes; Danionidae
Source: Ensembl